Molecule: ribosomal RNA, 1422 nt
Filed under: uncultured organism
Description: 16S ribosomal RNA
Rfam family: Bacterial small subunit ribosomal RNA
Source: RNAcentral
AGGAUGAACGCUAGCUACAGGCUUAACACAUGCAAGUCGAGGGGCAGCAUGGUCUUAGCUUGCUAAGGCCGAUGGCGACCGGCGCACGGGUGAGUAACACGUAUCCAACCUGCCGUCUACUCUUGGACAGCCUUCUGAAAGGAAGAUUAAUACAAGAUGGCAUCAUGAGUCCGCAUGUUCACAUGAUUAAAGGUAUUCCGGUAGACGAUGGGGAUGCGUUCCAUUAGAUAGUAGGCGGGGUAACGGCCCACCUAGUCUUCGAUGGAUAGGGGUUCUGAGAGGAAGGUCCCCCACAUUGGAACUGAGACACGGUCCAAACUCCUACGGGAGGCAGCAGUGAGGAAUAUUGGUCAAUGGGCGAGAGCCUGAACCAGCCAAGUAGCGUGAAGGAUGACUGCCCUAUGGGUUGUAAACUUCUUUUAUAAAGGAAUAAAGUCGGGUAUGGAUACCCGUUUGCAUGUACUUUAUGAAUAAGGAUCGGCUAACUCCGUGCCAGCAGCCGCGGUAAUACGGAGGAUCCGAGCGUUAUCCGGAUUUAUUGGGUUUAAAGGGAGCGUAGAUGGAUGUUUAAGUCAGUUGUGAAAGUUUGCGGCUCAACCGUAAAAUUGCAGUUGAUACUGGAUAUCUUGAGUGCAGUUGAGGCAGGCGGAAUUCGUGGUGUAGCGGUGAAAUGCUUAGAUAUCACGAAGAACUCCGAUUGCGAAGGCAGCCUGCUAAGCUGCAACUGACAUUGAGGCUCGAAAGUGUGGGUAUCAAACAGGAUUAGAUACCCUGGUAGUCCACACGGUAAACGAUGAAUACUCGCUGUUUGCGAUAUACUGCAAGCGGCCAAGCGAAAGCGUUAAGUAUUCCACCUGGGGAGUACGCCGGCAACGGUGAAACUCAAAGGAAUUGACGGGGGCCCGCACAAGCGGAGGAACAUGUGGUUUAAUUCGAUGAUACGCGAGGAACCUUACCCGGGCUUAAAUUGCAGAUGAAUUACGGUGAAAGCCGUAAGCCGCAAGGCAUCUGUGAAGGUGCUGCAUGGUUGUCGUCAGCUCGUGCCGUGAGGCGUCGGCUUAAGUGCCAUAACGAGCGCAACCCUUGUUGUCAGUUACUAACAGGUUCCGCUGAGGACUCUGACAAGACUGCCAUCGUAAGAUGUGAGGAAGGUGGGGAUGACGUCAAAUCAGCACGGCCCUUACGUCCGGGGCUACACACGUGUUACAAUGGGGGGUACAGAGGGCCGCUACCACGCGAGUGGAUGCCAAUCCCCAAAACCUCUCUCAGUUCGGACUGGAGUCUGCAACCCGACUCCACGAAGCUGGAUUCGCUAGUAAUCGCGCAUCAGCCACGGCGCGGUGAAUACGUUCCCGGGCCUUGUACACACCGCCCGUCAAGCCAUGGGAGCCGGGGGUACCUGAAGUGCGUAACCGCGAGGAG